This 21-nucleotide microRNA is filed under the name Aegilops tauschii. Its description in RNAcentral is "ata-miR5070-3p". The record is from miRBase by way of RNAcentral. Lineage: Eukaryota; Viridiplantae; Streptophyta; Magnoliopsida; Poales; Poaceae.
UUGAACUAAGUAGGGUCGGAG